AUCAAACAUUGGUUCUCAAGGCAUUAGAACUUAGAACAUCAGAGCUUAGAACUCCAGAACCAAGAAAUAGCGAUCCUCAGAAUACUCAGGUUCAUAGAUUAGAAUCCACAUUCCAAAGCAGCAGCAUCUAUGGAGACUUUGUUUUGAUGAGGUGGAGAAAAGGGGAAAUCCAGAAAGGGGAAAUAUUAGUUAGCAUACUGCAAGUUAAUAAUAAAAUAAGAACCUGAAUGCAGAUUUCCUGAUUCCUAGUCUACAACUCUUUCCUCGGAAUGUAUAACAGCUACCUGCUGCCGCUCGCUAACCCCAGGCUCAGAGGAAGCCGCUGGACAUCCGUGGCUACUGUCUGCACUGCACCAAGUCCGAACGCUCCAAGCCAUGGAUUCCCAAAACUGCAGCUGCCCUACGGGAGGCCCUUGCACCUGUUCUGGGAAUUGCAAAUGCAAAGAGUGUAAAUGCAGUUCCUGCCAGAAAGGAGGUUGCUGUACUUCCUGCCCUCCUGAGUGCCCCAAGUGUUCCAAGGAGUGUGCCGGCAAAGGGAAUGACAAGGGCGGCUGCUGCCAUUGAGAGUGCUGCUGGCUUCUUGUAAAUAUAACCAUCCUUUCCUAAAGGCAUGAGCUGUGUGCAUUGUCUACCAUAAAAAUGUGCUCAUGUGUUUUCAAAUGAAAAUAAACUCAGUGAACAACGUAAA
Molecule: RNA transcript, 688 nt
Organism: Sarcophilus harrisii (Tasmanian devil)
Lineage: Eukaryota; Metazoa; Chordata; Mammalia; Dasyuromorphia; Dasyuridae
Exons: 5
Source: RefSeq, a predicted model, not a curated record